Drosophila miranda is the source of this 320-nucleotide long non-coding RNA. RefSeq lists it as uncharacterized. NCBI's taxonomy places the organism in Eukaryota, Metazoa, Arthropoda, Insecta, Diptera, Drosophilidae. The record is from RefSeq and is a predicted model, not a curated record. The transcript has 2 exons.
UUUCCGCGCGUGCCGAACGUAAUUCGGUUCUGCCGACCGUGCGCAGUAGCAGUGAACUUCGUUCUAUCUUUUCGUCUUCUUUGCGCCUGCGUCGACAGAACUCUUUUGCUUUGCUCUUUGCUAAUUGCAAUCGUCAGACGGAGUUUUAAUAAGUGAUUAUUAAUCUGGAGUUUUAAUAAGUGAUUAUUAAUCUGUGAUUAUUAUUAUUAUCAGCGGCGGUGAAGAUGAAAAUACCCGACGAGCCAGCAGAAAAAGUGAUUCGGAAGGCUAUUCACAACAUUAAGAAUAGUCAUUUUCAGAAGACCUCGAGGGAAAAAAAU